This 443-nucleotide ribosomal RNA is filed under the name uncultured bacterium. Its description in RNAcentral is "partial 16S ribosomal RNA". It matches the Rfam family "Bacterial small subunit ribosomal RNA", at positions 338 to 795 of the family's 1533-position model. The record is from RNAcentral.
CCUACGGGUGGCAGCAGUGGGGAAUAUUGGGCAAUGGACGCAACUCUGACCCAGCAACGCCGCGUGAAGGAAGAAGGUCUUCGGGUUGUAAACUUCUUUUAUAGGGGACGAAACAAGUGACGGUACCUAAGGAAUAAGCCACGGCUAACUACGUGCCAGCAGCCGCGGUAAUACGUAGGAGGCAAGCGUUAUCCGGAUUGACUGGGUGUAAAGGGCGCGUAGGCGGUUUGACAAGUCAGAAGUGAAACCCAGGGGCUCAACUCCGGAACUACUUUUAAAACUGUUGUACUUGAGUGCAGGAGGGGCAGUCGGAAUUCCGUGUGUAGCGGUGGAAUGCGUAGAUAUACGGAGGAACACCAGUGGCGAAGGCGGACUGCUAGACAUUAACUGACGCUGAGGCGCGAAAGCGUGGGGAGCAAACAGGAUUAGAUACCCGAGUAGUC